UACGGAGGUGCAAGCGUUGUCCGGAAUCACUGGGCGUAAAGGGCGCGUAGGCGGCUCAUGAAGGCUGUGGUGAAAGUCCGGGGCUCAACCUCGGAUCGGCCGUGGCGACUCGUGGGCUGGAGCACUGUAGAGGCAGGUGGAAUUCCGGGUGUAGCGGUGGAAUGCGUAGAGAUCCGGAAGAACACCAGUGGCGAAGGCGGCCUGCUGGGCAGUGGCUGACGC
This 222-nucleotide ribosomal RNA is filed under the name uncultured bacterium. Its description in RNAcentral is "partial 16S ribosomal RNA". It matches the Rfam family "Bacterial small subunit ribosomal RNA", at positions 524 to 746 of the family's 1533-position model. The record is from RNAcentral.